UACGUAGGGUGCGAGCGUUGUUCGGAAUUAUUGGGCGUAAAGGGCGCGUAGGCGGUGCCACAAGUCACUUGUGAAAUCCCCGGGCUUAACUCGGGGCCUGCAGGCGAAACUGUGGUGCUGGAGUAUGGGAGAGGUGCGUGGAAUUCCGGGUGUAGCGGUGGAAUGCGUAGAGAUCCGGAAGAACACCGGUGGCGAAGGCGGCUCGCUGGGCAGUGGCUGACGCUGAGGCGCGACAGCGUGGGGAGCAAACAGG
This 253-nucleotide ribosomal RNA is filed under the name uncultured bacterium. RNAcentral describes it as "partial 16S ribosomal RNA". It matches the Rfam family "Bacterial small subunit ribosomal RNA", at positions 524 to 776 of the family's 1533-position model. The record is from RNAcentral.